Molecule: ribosomal RNA, 92 nt
Filed under: Enterobacter cloacae
Lineage: Bacteria; Pseudomonadati; Pseudomonadota; Gammaproteobacteria; Enterobacterales; Enterobacteriaceae
Description: partial 23S ribosomal RNA
Source: RNAcentral
GACGACGUUGUUAGGUCGCUUCGGUAAGCGCAGCGAUUCGUUGAGCUAACCGAUACUAAUGAACCGUGAGGCUUAACCUUACAACGCCGAAG